This 459-nucleotide ribosomal RNA is filed under the name uncultured bacterium. Its description in RNAcentral is "partial 16S ribosomal RNA". It matches the Rfam family "Bacterial small subunit ribosomal RNA", at positions 338 to 795 of the family's 1533-position model. The record is from RNAcentral.
CCUACGGGAGGCAGCAGUGAGGAAUAUUGGUCAAUGGCCGCAGGGCUGAACCAGCCAAGUCGCGUGAGGGAUGACGGUCCUAUGGAUUGUAAACCUCUUUUGUCAGGGAGCAAAGGGCGCCACGUGUGGCGUUUUGCGAGUACCCGAAGAAAAAGCAUCGGCUAACUCCGUGCCAGCAGCCGCGGUAAUACGGAGGAUGCGAGCGUUAUCCGGAUUUAUUGGGUUAAAAGGGUGCGCAGGCGGGAUGUCAAGUCAGCGGUAAAAUUUCGGGGCUCAACCCCGUCGUGCCGUUGAAACUGGCGGUCUUGAGUGGGCGAGAAGUAUGCGGAAUGCGGGGUGUAGCGGUGAAAUGCAUAGAUAUCACGCAGAACUCCGGUUGCGAAGGCAGCAUACCGGCGCUCAACUGACGCUCAUGCACGAAAGCGUGGGUAUCGAACAGGAUUAGAUACCCGUGUAGGC